RNAcentral lists this ribosomal RNA (457 nucleotides) under uncultured Methanobrevibacter sp. RNAcentral describes it as "bacterial SSU rRNA". Lineage: Archaea; Methanobacteriati; Methanobacteriota; Methanobacteria; Methanobacteriales; Methanobacteriaceae. The record is from RNAcentral.
GGCUUUUCUUUAGUGUAAAAAGCUUUUGGAAUAAGACCUGGGCAAGACCGGUCCCGGCGGCCGCGGUAACACCGGCAGCUCUAUUGGUAGCAGUUUUUAUUGGGCUUAAGGCGUCCGUAGCCGGUUUAAUAAGUUUUUGGUGAAUUCUUGUAGUUUAACUGUGGGAAUUGCUGGUGAUACUGUUAUACUUGAGGCCGGGAGAGGUUAGAGGUACUCCCAGGGUAGAGGUGAAUUUCUGUAUUCUUGGGAGGACCGCUUGUUGCGAAGGCGUUUAACUGGAACGGUUCUGACGGUGAGGGACGAAAGUUAGGGGCGCGAACCGGAUUAGAUACCCGGGUAGUCCUAGCUGUAAACGAUGCGGACUUGGUGUUGGGGUGGCUUUGAGUUGCUCCUGUGCCGAAGRGAAGUUGUUAARUSCRCCRCCUGGGAAGUACGGUCGCAAGGCUAAACUAAAGGA